This 87-nucleotide transfer RNA is filed under the name Clostridiales bacterium. RNAcentral describes it as "tRNA-Leu". It matches the Rfam family "tRNA". From Rfam's summary of the family: Transfer RNA (tRNA) molecules are approximately 80 nucleotides in length. RNAcentral also lists the same sequence under 1 other name. Lineage: Bacteria; Bacillati; Bacillota; Clostridia; Eubacteriales. The record is from RNAcentral.
GCGGAUGUGGUGGAACUGGCAGACGCGUACGGUUCAGGGCCGUAUGUUCUUACGAACGUGUGGGUUCAAAUCCCACCAUCCGCACCA